GUAGGGGGCGAGCGUUAUCCGGAAUCAUUGGGCGUAAAGGGUGUGUAGGCGGUUAGAUAAGCGAGAGGUUAAAGGCUAUGGCUCAACCAUAGUAAGCCUUUCGAACUGUUUAACUUGAGUACAGGAGAGGAGAGCGGAAUUCCUAGUGUAGCGGUGAAAUGCGUAGAUAUUAGGAGGAACACCAGUGGCGAAGGCGGCUCUCUGGACUGUAACUGACGCUGAGGCACGAAAGCGUGGGGAGCAAACAGGGAUUAGAUACCCUGGUAGUCCACGCCGUAAACGAUGAAUGCUAGGUGUCGGGGGUCGAACCUCGGUGCCGGAGUUAACGCAAUAAGCAUUCCGCCUGGGGAGUACGAUCGCAAGAUUG
Molecule: ribosomal RNA, 367 nt
Filed under: uncultured organism
Description: partial 16S ribosomal RNA
Rfam family: Bacterial small subunit ribosomal RNA
Source: RNAcentral